Molecule: transfer RNA, 73 nt
Filed under: Cyclocybe aegerita
Lineage: Eukaryota; Fungi; Basidiomycota; Agaricomycetes; Agaricales; Hemipholiotaceae
Description: tRNA-His
Rfam family: tRNA
About the family: Transfer RNA (tRNA) molecules are approximately 80 nucleotides in length.
Source: RNAcentral
GGUCACAUUAGUUUAAUUGGUAGAGCACAGCUUUGUGGAUGCUGAGAAAAGAGUUCAAAUCUCUUAUGUGACC